This 170-nucleotide ribosomal RNA is filed under the name Paphiopedilum delenatii. RNAcentral describes it as "5.8S ribosomal RNA". The stretch from base 1 to 93 matches the Rfam family "5.8S ribosomal RNA", at positions 64 to 154 of the family's 154-position model. Rfam says of the family: 5.8S ribosomal RNA (5.8S rRNA) is a component of the large subunit of the eukaryotic ribosome. It is transcribed by RNA polymerase I as part of the 45S precursor that also contains 18S and 28S rRNA. The record is from RNAcentral. Lineage: Eukaryota; Viridiplantae; Streptophyta; Magnoliopsida; Asparagales; Orchidaceae.
GGUGUGAAUUGCAGAAUCCCGUGAACCAUCGAGUCUUUGAACGCAAGUUGCGCCCAAGGCCAUCAGGCCAAGGGCACGCCUGCCUGGGCAUUGCGAGUCAUAUCUCUCCCUUAACGAGGCUGUCCAGGCAUACUGUUCAGCCGGUGCGGGUGUGAGUUUGGCCCCUUGUU